CACCACAUUCGGGUCCGUACCGGGUGGGAACGACGAUGGCACCAGAGCCGCGAACGGGCUUCCGUAGCCCGGAGCCGACGGCGGGUAUCCACCCCCGCUGCUUCCGUGGCUCUGGUGAGGCUUCUCUGGCGCGUACGGCGCGGCGUACGGUGCCGAUGGUGCGCCGUAGGGUGCAGACGGCGCGCCAUAAGGUGCAGCCGGCGCUCCGUACGGUUGCGCUUGGUGUUGGUGGGGCUGGCCGGGUUGGCCUGGCUGGCCUGGCUGCGGCGCGGCGUAGGGUUUGCCUGGUGGAGGCGUGCUGCCGUAGCCGUAGCCGGGGGGCGGGUGUGGGUAUCCAGACAUUUUUAAUUUUGUUUUCUAGUAGAAUAGAAGCUUUUUGAAG
RNAcentral lists this long non-coding RNA (382 nucleotides) under Prunus persica (peach). RNAcentral's name for it is "long non-coding RNA (PPER_LNC007221)". The record is from RNAcentral. Lineage: Eukaryota; Viridiplantae; Streptophyta; Magnoliopsida; Rosales; Rosaceae.